This 417-nucleotide ribosomal RNA is filed under the name Ochrobactrum sp. bnj_pkc-9. Its description in RNAcentral is "bacterial SSU rRNA". It matches the Rfam family "Bacterial small subunit ribosomal RNA", at positions 102 to 527 of the family's 1533-position model. The record is from RNAcentral. Lineage: Bacteria; Pseudomonadati; Pseudomonadota; Alphaproteobacteria; Hyphomicrobiales; Brucellaceae.
ACGGGUGAGUAACGCGUGGGAAUCUACCUAUCUCUAGGGAAUAACUCAGGGAAACUUGUGCUAAUACCCUAUACGUCCGUAAGGAGAAAGAUUUAUCGGAGAUAGAUGAGCCCGCGUUGGAUUAGCUAGUUGGUGGGGUAAAGGCCUACCAAGGCGACGAUCCAUAGCUGGUCUGAGAGGAUGAUCAGCCACACUGGGGACUGAGACACGGCCCAGACUCCUACGGGGAGGCAGCAGUGGGGAAAUAUUGGGACAAUGGGCGCAAGCCYUGAUCCAGCCAUGCCGCGUGGAGUGGAUGAAAGGCCCCUAGGGGUUGGUAAAGCUUCUUUCACCGGGUGGAAAGAUAAUGACGGUUAACCGGGAGAAAGAAGCCCCCGGGCUUAACUUCCGUGCCCAGCCAGCCCGGCGGGUAAUACC